GUCAGACUCCUCUUCAAAUACCUGAAAGCAAUUUCACAGUUCCACUGGUGAAGAGUAUUGUCUCCUUCUUUUGCUCUAACUGCGACUCUUUUCCAUGGUGCUUCCUCCAUUUUGCUUAUUUUUUUCCUCAGCAUUCUCUGCUUUGUCUUGAUGUUCUUCCACCUCCAGUGCCGCUCAUGGUGACGGCUGCUUGAGAGUUCUGUCUCAGUGCUCUACAUUUUCUCUUAUAGCCUUAAGCGUGGCAACUUGCUGCUCCAGUUCUCACACUUUUUCUUCCCACACUACUACCAGUUUGCACUUGCUGUUAUGUGUCCGCUGUGUUGUACACACAAGCUCUGCACAGACUUUACAGGUUACCACCACUGAUGGGGAUCAAUCACUGUUACCUUUUUUACUUUCUUCCGUUUGUCUGUGAGUGCCCUUUCUUUUGUCUUACCUGCCUUGAAGGAUGCUGGGAAUCCACUAAUAUAUACCCGUAACUAAACCAGAAAACAAGCUUAUUUCUUUUACAAUAUUGAUGAGAAAAUGCUUAUAGCUAUGGAUGAGGGUGGGGCAAGACAUCAUUUGAAAGGAGCCUGUGCUUUAUAUGGACAAAAGGGUGUGGCUUAGGAACCAAAUGAUGGGAAAAGAAAAUGUUCUUUGUUCUCUGGCCAGGUGAAGCAGGUAGUUUUACCGACAAGCUAUCCUUAACAUUCAAAAUAUAAAUGCACUUUGCCUCCUGAGUCCAAGGUAAAACUGCUUCAGAGACAACAAUAAAGAACAUGGCAUUCUGAGAAAUGCAGCAAUUGCCAUUAGUUACUACAGUCACCAUUACCUGAAUGCACAGGAAUUUGCUAAGGAGGAGCAAAAUGCAGAUCAUCUUUUCUUUUGUUACCAUUGUUGCAAGGAGAUCCUCCUCUGUGGUUUCCAGUUCAAGUGAGAUGUACAACCCAUGCUUCACAAUAACAAUUCAGUGAAUGAAGAAAUCCUUUCAUCAAAAUGAGAGGCUGGCACCUCACCAUCCUUCAGCAUCAGGCUCUGUGAUGUUCACCUUCUCAGGUAUCAGUAUGUUUUUCUACCAUUUUGGAUUCCAGGAGGGUUGCUUUCUCUAACUUUUCUAGCCUAACAAAUGAAAUUAUAAAUGACUGUAAUGGAUCUAAAUUCUGUUUCACAAAUGCUGAUCCCCUGCAUUUAAAAUACUGCUAAUGGAAAAU
Molecule: long non-coding RNA, 1193 nt
Filed under: Pogona vitticeps (central bearded dragon)
Lineage: Eukaryota; Metazoa; Chordata; Lepidosauria; Squamata; Agamidae
Description: lncRNA (ENSPVIG00000005522.1)
Source: RNAcentral